Molecule: long non-coding RNA, 6291 nt
Filed under: Nicotiana tabacum (common tobacco)
Lineage: Eukaryota; Viridiplantae; Streptophyta; Magnoliopsida; Solanales; Solanaceae
Description: long non-coding RNA (NTAB_LNC019102)
Source: RNAcentral
CGGAAUUGAAAGCCAACACAGCCCGAUAUCGGGAUGUCACCAGUCAUGAGCAUCUAAAACAAUACUACAAGUCUGAAAGUCUACUCUACUACUAAAUAACUGAAUCAGAAAAGAAAUAAGAUAGAGGGAGGUUGCCCUGGGCUGAGAAUCGCCAAGCAGCUACCUAGUAAACCUCCGAAGAUCUGAUGGAACUAUCAACCCUCAGUAGCAGGACCUGAAACGCCCGAAUCUGCACACAGAGGUGCAUGGAGUAAAGUCAGUACUUCCAACUCAGUGAGUAAUAAGAAUAAAUGAAGACUGAACGAUAUAAAAUCACGUUAAACACAACAUUUAGCUAUCAGAGGCAUAACAAAAUCAGUAACACAAUUUAACAAUUGAAAUCUCAUAAAAACUACAUUUUUAAGCAGUCAACAAUAGAUAGUAAAAACAACUAGGAAUGGUAAAUACAUAAGAACUGCCCCUCGGGCACAAUAACAUCAAAUCAGCCCCCCAGGCAAUAUCACAGAACAAUACCAGCCCCCCGGGCUAUAUCUCAUGUCACAAUGGGUACCCGCACUCACUGGGGGUGUGCAGACUCCUGGAGGGGCCGCUUACGGCCCAAGCACAAUAUCAAGCCAUCUUGUGGCAUCAUAAACAGGUACUCGGCCUCAUAUCAAUAUCAAGUCACCUCGUGGCGUACAAUCCCAGGCCCUCGGCCUCAUUAUCAUAAUUAGUGUAUCACUUCUGCGGCGUGCAGCCCGACCCAAAAGUAUCCUCACAAUACAGGCCCUCGGCCUUACUCAACUCAAAAUAUCUUUAAAACAUCAUUUAAGGUUUCUAAAACUGAUUAACAUAACUGAGUUUUGAAAACAUUGAAAGAUCUAGCAUGACUGUGCACAAGUAUGAAAUCAAACAGUGAGGAAAAUAUCAUUAACGNNNNNNNNNNNNNNNNNNNNNNNNNNNNNNNNNNNNNNNNNNNNNNNNNNNNNNCCCAAUGGUGCACGACCCCACGCUCGUCAUCUAGCGUGUGCGUCACCUCAACACAUCCGAACGUUGUAUAAUUCGGGGUUUCAUACCCUUAGAACAGCAUUUAAAAUCAUUAUUCACCUCGAACUAGCCCGAAAAGCUACUCUGCAACACGCUUGCCUCUCGAACCAACUUCUGAGUGCUCCAAAUCUACCAAGUUCAGAUUUUUAUCAUCAAAUUAUGCUAAACGAAUGAAUUCCAAUUGAAAAUAUCGAUUUUAAGCACAAAACCCGAAAUCAGUCAAAACCCGACACCCGAGCCCGUAUCCCGGAACUGGACAAACUUUAUACCAAAAUAUUCUUCAUCAUUUCACGAGUCUGUACAUAUAAAGAACUCGAAAAUCGGAGUUCUUUUGACCCCUCAAAUCAUCCUUAGAAUGUAUCAUAAUCUCAAGCCCUAACUCCACGUUUUUCUACUAAUUUUCAUGAAUUAAACACUGAUAUUUUUUUCCUUAAUCACAAAUAAUCGAGUUUUAGGAUCCAAAAUCCUUACCUCAAUAAAGAACAAUGAUUUCCUCUCUUCAAAAUCGCCUCAAAGCUCUUUUCCCGUUCAAAAAUGGUGUAAAAGGGUUUAAUGGUCGCGACGGGUUUGUUUAACUACUGCUCACGCGUUUACUGUUCACCCGAGUACUGUUCACCCGAGUUACUGUUUAUGCUGCUGUGAAAAAAAAUGCAGCAGCUUUUCUUCUAGUCUAAAUUGAUCCGUUAACCUUUCCAGAUCCACCCGAAGCCCUUGACAAUCUCAACAAUUAUACCAACACGUCCCAUAACAUCAUUAGAACUUAGUCGAGCCUUCGAAACACCAAAAACAACAUCAAAAUCACAUCAAAUUCAAGCCUAUGAACUUUGAAAUUCCUAAAUUCCACCAACGACGCCGAAACUAUCCAAAACAACUCUGAUUGACCUGAAAUUUUGCAGACAUAUCCAAAAUGACAUUACGAACCUGUUCCAAUUGUCGGAAUUUCAUUCCGACCCCGAUAGCCUAUUUUCCACUGCCGACCAGAAAUCGCCAAAAACUAACUUUCGCCAAUUCAAGCCUAAUUCUACACCGGACAUCACAAAAAUAUUCCAUACACACUCCUAAGUCCCAAAUCAUCUAACGAAGCUAUCCGAGCCAUAAAAUCUACAUUCCGAGGUUGUCUACUAACAAGUCAAAUCUUGGUCAAACCUUUCAAAUUUUAAGCUUCAAAUUGAGAACUGUUCUUCCAAAUUCAUUUCGAUUACCCUGAAAACCAAAACCGACGAUUUACAUAAGUCAUAAUACAUCACAUGGGGCUAGUCAUGCUCGAGAACUGGCCAAAAAAGUGCAAAAGCUCAAAACUACCGUUCGGGUCGUUACAUGUUCAUAUUGUUGAUUCCCUUGCUGGGAUGUUAUUGUUUAUAUUGUUGAUUCCCUUGCCGUGAUGUAUUGUUUCUUUUGUUUGGGUGGGGAUACUAAGAGAUCCCCAGCACACUAGGGAUACCAAGAGAUCCCCAGCACAUAUAUUGAGGAUACCAAGAGAUCCUCGGGAUACCAAGAGAUCCCCAGCACAUAUAUUGAGGAUACCAAGAGACCCUCGGGAUAUCAAGAGAUCCCCAAUACAUAUAUUGAGGAUACCAAGAGAUCCUCGGGAUACCAAGAGAUCCCUAGCUCAUAUACUGAGGAUACUGAGAGAUCCCCGAGUAUUUACGUUUGGGACUACGGGACGAGAUCCUGGGAGAUCCCCUGUCGAUAUUCUGUAAGUGUAAACUCACGAAGGGUGAUGUCGUGCACUUUCUAUUUGUUGCAUUUAUUUGUUGCUAUCAAUUCAAGUAUUCUAACGGUUUAGAUCCCCUUAUUGCUAUGAUUCUUUGUGUUGGAACCCAUAGUGUUGUCAAUACCUCGCCGUAUAUAUAUAUAUAUAUAUAUAUGUUUUUCAAUACCUCAAAUUUCAAUAAUUUCUACAUUUUUGAUUCAAUUAGUUUUUCAAUUAAAUUUCCUUAAAUCGUCUGAGGUUUUAUUCUACUUAAAAAGGAAUUUCUACUAAGUUGUAAUUUAUUAAAUCCCAUAUUAAAGGUAAUAAUUCAUUCGAUGUUGUAAUUUAAUUGAAAAUGAUAUUUUCUUUAUUCAAAUAAUUUCUAAAAAUAACUUCAUCUUUUCUUGUCGAGUUCCUAAUUGGCUUAGAAGUUGUACUCUACUUUAUGUUAUGUAAAUGAGACUCCUUGAACAUAUUAAUUGCAUUGGUUAUGGACCCUAUGUACUGAGUAACAUGAGAACAUUGUUGUGCAAACUGAGAUAGAAAUAUGUAAGCACAAGGUGUCGGGUGUGCUAAAGGUUUGGUAAUUGAGGUUAUGAUAUGAGACAUCGAGUUUGAGAUGGAUGGAAUUGUGCAUCAGAAAUGAUAUGAUUUAUUGAGCUGACAUCGCCUUUCUUGUUUGAGUACAUUUUUUUCUUGUUUGUGUUCCAACUAUGUUGGUAUUAAUUUAUUUGGUUAUCUUUCAUUUUUAUCCGUGAUUCCCUUUAUCGUUUCUACUGUUUGUAUUUUGAUUUCUCUCCGAUGUUGAUAUUAUCUCGUUAUCUUUAUCUAGAUAUUUCACUAUCAUAUCUUGUUCAUUUCAUUUGACCAGUAGGUGUUUGGACUGUUCCUCGUCACUACCCCACCGAGGUUAGUCUUGAUACUUAUUAGGCACUGCCGUGGUGUGCUCAUACUACACUUCUGUACAUUUUUGUAUACAGAUCCAGGUAUUAAUCGAUAAUAGCUAUGCGGAUGGUCGCGGUGGAGACUCACGGCAACCUGUUGCUGAGUUCGCAGGCCUCGGAGUCACCUUUGUUUGUAUUUACGUUCCAUUGAUUCCUUCUCGUUCUGGAAUAGUAUUGUAUUUAUUUUAUAUAACUACUCUUAGAAAGGCUUAUGACUUGUAUCACCGGUUUUGGGGAAUUGUGAUUUAUUGAGAGUUAUUUAAUUUGAAGUUAGUAAAUGCUAAUGUUAUUUCAGUAAAUGCUAGGCUUACCUAGUUUAGAGACUAUGUGCCAUCACGACUCCUUUGGAGGGAUUUUGGGACGUGACACCAACUUGCUGAACAAUUGGAAUAAAAAUAAAAAGCUAGCAAUUUUUAGUCCAUAUGAAUUUUAUUGGGUCAAACUCUAGGCCCAUGUCCUUAAGUAUCCAGACUCAUAUGCACAACCCUAUUUGGGUCGUUUACAAGUCUGGCCCAAUUCACCUUUUAUGCACAAUUCAACACUAAUUCUGAAAAUACAACAGUAGUGACUUAAAUACGACAUUGAGCAUAGAGUCAAAUUAACAGAUUUAUCACAUUGUAACACAAGGAAAUAUUAGUACCCAAAUCAUGUUCCUAAUCUAUGAAAUCUGAACAGAAUAACCAACUAUUAAUACAUGCUUUCGUGCAGAUACGGGUUAGGGAACAAAGCUGGACCUUAAUUGAAUCACAUGAAAGGUCAUUGGGCCUAAAUUGAGGCCCACAAUGUUUGAUUUAGUUCCUACUAGGAUGGGCCUUUCUUGUUUCAGGCCCACAACAUGGAAUACAACAGAGGGAAGCAUGUUAUUACCUAUUUAGUCACCAUAUCAAAAGUAAUUAAAUCAAAAUCAUACAAAACCCAAUCAACAAAUCUGCCAGAAUUAUUACAAUGAUAAUCAUACGUGAAAUUUACAAGUAAAAUUAGUCGUAAAACACUAGAUUUUAUAAGCCAUAUUGCUUUUUUCCACUUUGCAUUUGCUUAACCUUGUACCAAAAUCAUAAAUCUAACCUGCUCAGACACAUGAAUACUAGCCAAUUUAUGAAUUCUAUAAUUUCAAACUCAGUUGUCUGUACAGAUUCCAUUUCAAGCUGUGAUACUGCCCUAAGGACAUACGUCUAGUACCACACAAAAAGGCUCAUAUUCAGGGAAACAACAAAAAUCCAAUAUUUGUAAUUUAAGCAAGUUGAACAUACACUUUUAUUCAGCACUUGAAAUAACCAAAAUAAUAUGCAAUCCAAAUCAACAAACAAAUUUAGCCAACCAAUAUAGAACAUGUACCAAUAAACAGAAUGCUCAUACAUCCAGCAAAUAACAAUAUUUCCAAACAACAUGUGAUAGUCAUGGUAUUCAAAUAGCUUCCUACAUUACUUGGUCUACCAAUACAUACCUUAAUUAGCAACCAAGUAAGAAGAAAAAUAGGCUUCUAGACAAACUAGAAGAAUAAAGCAGGCAGAAACAACAGCAAAUCAGUAGAAGAGCAGCCUUGAAAUCCCAAAAAUAAGCUUGAGCUUGAAUCCAAACUUAACUUUAGAAAACCAGAGUUGAUCCCAAAACAAACUUUUUAAACCAUUUUUUUAAAGGAGCUAGACUUGCAAAAAGAAAAUGCUAAGGUCACAAUUCUGCUUUCAAAGCAGUCCUAAGAUGAAGAAAAGAAAUGGAAUUUCAGAGAAGAUUUUAGGGUGUCAUUUUCGUCCCAUUUGAGAGAGAAGAAGGUCCUAUANNNNNNNNNNNNNNNNNNNNNUCAACAAUUCUAGACAGCUGGUGCUUUUCUAAAACCUUUUUCUUAGGCUGGGCCAAUGUCAUGGCCAAAUGGCCCAAAACAAUCCCAAAUCCAGUAACAAUUCAGGCCCUGACUGAUUGGGCCUUCACUGUCCAACCCAGAACUAAACAUUCAAAGUAAAAUGGGACAAAUUACUACCAAAUGAUUCAUUUGAACAUCUAAAGCUAAUUAGCACACAAUUAACUAACAAUCAAAUCCAGUUAAUAAAAAUAAACCUAAAAUAUAUGCAAAUUAAAGACUAACUAGUUAAACUAUUUUAAUUCAACCUAAAACUUAUGCCAUCAACACACUAAGACUAACUUAAGUAAAGGAAUAAAAAAACAGGAUUCAAAUAAAGAAACAGAAUCAAGAGGAAGGAGAGGGAGGAUACUUAUUUGGUCGGAAUGAAUCGACGAGUCGAAACGACUCGAUGAACGAAGAAAGUGACGAGUUUGGGCCGGGCAGCGGUGGCUUGGUUGGAAUCCAACGGUUCUCGAACAAACCAAGACUAACAUUAAUCAACAAGAACAAUUGUUUAACGUAAGUCUUGAUUCCAAUCGAGCCUUGAACACAUGAAUGCCAAGAAGAAUCGGGUUAGGGGUGACUUGGUUUUUUUUUCUUCUGAAAUUCGGAUUUGAGAUUGACGAAAAUAGAAGGGGAUUUUGGGGAAAUCAAUGAUAGAUUAGUAAUUAGGGGAGUAUAGGGAUUGCAUGGUGUUAAUUUGGGCGAGUUUUGGAGCGUCGCAACCGGCCGAUGGAUGUGGGAUUUAGGGGCAUCUAAGUUAGGGAUUUGGAGAGAGAUGGGGAAUGGGG